CGGUGGUUUUGGGAUCGAGGCUUUACACAUGCAAGUCGAGGGGCAGCAUGAUCUUAGUUUGCUAAGGUUGAUGGCGACCGGGAAGGGAGCGUAACGCGUAUGCAACUUGCCUUACAGAGGGGGAUAACCCGUUGAAAGACGGACUAAAACCGCAUACACUUGCAUUAUUGCAUGAUAUUACAAGGAAAUAUUUAUAGCUGUAAGAUAGGCAUGCGUCCCAUUAGCUUGUUGGUGAGGUAACGGCUCACCAAGGCGACGAUGGGUAGGGGAACUGAGAGGUUUAUCCCCCACACUGGUACUGAGACACGGACCAGACUCCUACGGGAGGCAGCAGUGAGGAAUAUUGGUCAAUGGGCGAGAGCCUGAACCAGCCAAGUCGCGUGAAGGAAGACCGUCCUAAGGAUUGUAAACUUCUUUUAUACGGGAAUAACGGGCGAUACGAGUAUUGCAUUGAAUGUACCGUAAGAAUAAGCAUCGGCUAACUCCGUGCCAGCAGCCGCGGUAAUACGGAGGAUGCGAGCGUUAUCCGGAUUUAUUGGGUUUAAA
RNAcentral lists this ribosomal RNA (546 nucleotides) under uncultured bacterium. RNAcentral describes it as "bacterial SSU rRNA". It matches the Rfam family "Bacterial small subunit ribosomal RNA", at positions 23 to 564 of the family's 1533-position model. The record is from RNAcentral.